GUGCUUGCUUCAGUAGCUCACAUGCUAAAAUAGGAAUGAUUCAGAGAAGAUUAUCAUGGCCCCUGAACAAGCAUGACAUACAAAUACAUGAAGUGUUUUAUAUUUUU
Molecule: small nuclear RNA, 107 nt
Organism: Nycticebus coucang (slow loris)
Lineage: Eukaryota; Metazoa; Chordata; Mammalia; Primates; Lorisidae
Source: RefSeq, a predicted model, not a curated record